GACGAACGCUGGCGGCGUGCUUAACACAUGCAAGUCGAACGAAGUGGCGAACGGGUGAGUAACGCGUAAUCAACUUGCCCUUCAGAGGGGGACAACAGUUGGAAACGACUGCUCAUACCGCAUACUGAAGGAGGGGACUGCGUUUGAUGAGCGAGUUGGGGGGGUAACGGCCCACCAAGGCGAAGAUCAGUAGCCGGUCUGAGGGGAUGAACGGCCACAUUGGGACUGAGACACGGCCCAGACUCCUACGGGGGGCAGCCGGGGGGAAUCUUCCGCAAUGGAGGGAAUGCUGACGGAGCAACGCCGCGUGAGUGAUGACGGCCUUCGGGUUGUAAAGCUCUGUUAAUCGGGACGCGGUACCGGAAUAGAAAGCCACGGCUAACUACGUGCCAGCAGCCGCGGUAAUUC
Molecule: ribosomal RNA, 408 nt
Filed under: uncultured bacterium
Lineage: Bacteria
Description: partial 16S ribosomal RNA
Rfam family: Bacterial small subunit ribosomal RNA
Source: RNAcentral